This 253-nucleotide ribosomal RNA is filed under the name uncultured bacterium. Its description in RNAcentral is "partial 16S ribosomal RNA". It matches the Rfam family "Bacterial small subunit ribosomal RNA", at positions 524 to 776 of the family's 1533-position model. The record is from RNAcentral.
GACGAACCGUGCGAACGUUGUUCGGAAUAACUGGGCUUAAAGGGUGUGUAGGUGGCGCGCUAAGUCGGGUGUGAAAUUUCGGAGCUUAACUCCGAAACUGCAUUCGAUACUGGCGUGCUUGAGGACUGGAGAGGAGACUGGAAUUCAUGGUGUAGCAGUGAAAUGCGUAGAGAUCAUGAGGAAGACCAGUGGCGAAGGCGGGUCUCUGGACAGUUCCUGACACUGAGACACGAAGGCCAGGGGAGCAAACGGG